RNAcentral lists this ribosomal RNA (500 nucleotides) under uncultured bacterium. RNAcentral describes it as "bacterial SSU rRNA". It matches the Rfam family "Bacterial small subunit ribosomal RNA", at positions 19 to 518 of the family's 1533-position model. The record is from RNAcentral.
CUGGCUCAGGAUGAACGCUGGCGGCGUGCUUAACACAUGCAAGUCGAACGAAGCUCUCUGAUCCGAGGAUUCGUCUGAAGUGAUGAGAUGACUUAGUGGCGGACGGGUGAGUAACGCGUGGGUAACCUGCCGUAUGCAGGGGGACAACAGUUGGAAACGACUGCUAAUACCGCAUAAGCGCACGGGGAGGCAUCUUUCUGUGUGAAAAGAUUUAUCGGCAUACGAUGGACCCGCGUCUGAUUAGAUAGUUGGCAGGGUAACGGCCUACCAAGUCGACGAUCAGUAGCCGGCCUGAGAGGGUGAACGGCCACAUUGGGACUGAGACACGGCCCAAACUCCUACGGGAGGCAGCAGUGGGGAAUAUUGCACAAUGGGGGAAACCCUGAUGCAGCGACGCCGCGUGAGUGAAGAAGUAUUUCGGUAUGUAAAGCUCUAUCAGCAGGGAAGAAAAUGACGGUACCUGACUAAGAAGCCCCGGCUAACUACGUGCCAGCCGCGGC